GACAGAGGGGGCAAGCGUUGCUCGGAAUCACUGGGCGUAAAGCGCACGUAGGCGGCUUUCUAAGUCAGGGGUGAAAUCCUGGAGCUCAACUCCAGAACUGCCUUUGAUACUGGAGAGCUUGAAUCCGGGAGAGGUGAGUGGAACUCCGAGUGUAGAGGUGAAAUUCGUAGAUAUUCGGAAGAACACCAGUGGCGAAGGCGGCUCACUGGCCCGGUACUGACGCUGAGGUGCGAAAGCGUGGGGAGCAAACAGG
This 253-nucleotide ribosomal RNA is filed under the name uncultured bacterium. RNAcentral's name for it is "partial 16S ribosomal RNA". It matches the Rfam family "Bacterial small subunit ribosomal RNA", at positions 524 to 776 of the family's 1533-position model. The record is from RNAcentral.